RNAcentral lists this long non-coding RNA (1344 nucleotides) under Citrus sinensis (sweet orange). RNAcentral describes it as "long non-coding RNA (CSIN_LNC002896)". Lineage: Eukaryota; Viridiplantae; Streptophyta; Magnoliopsida; Sapindales; Rutaceae. The record is from RNAcentral.
AUCUGUUCAGCGAUGGAGAGGCUCCAAAACCAGCUGCAAAAGAAGGGCAGGCUCAAAACAACGCUCCUACCCAGAAGCCUGCUCCUGUUGCUCAACCAGUAGAUAUUACCAAGCAGCUUCCUGCUGGUAUCAACAGUACUUCAAUGAACAACUAUAUGCGGGCAGAUGGUCAGAACACUGGCAACUUCAUUACGGUAUGAUUCCUAUUCCAAUAGCUUUGUUUGCAUAUUCUGUGAUGCUUGUAAUGCAUCAGUGUGUGAUUUUUUUAACUUGUUUGUUUGUUCUGAACAUUCUAAAGGAAUGGUUUUGUCUCUCUUGGGAAAUUAAUAAAAUUGUUCUUCAGGAAUAGUUUGUUCUAUAGAGAGAACAGCAACCAUCAUUCUGUGUGAGGCAUAAAAAUUGUAGUCCACAAUAUUUUGAUGCUUCGGUCUUGGGUAGUUCAAAAGACUUUUGUUUUCACUACGUUUGUGUUUUGGGGAUUUGAACUGUAAAAGAACUUCUAUUCUUGUUUCAGAUUUCCUAUUGAAGUUAGAUCUUUGUUUUAAAAUUUUUGUGAAGUGAGACUAUUGCCGGAAAUUGUUAACCAUUUUGUAAAUCAAAUGUCUUGCUAUGGUUCUAGGAAAUGUAGUAGGCCCAACUAACUGCGGUGUACAUCAAGACUUAAAAAUGCAGUUGGUACAUGUUGCAUGCUUUUAUGAAGUAAUGAGGAAUAAUUUGCUUCGUGUCACAUACAGAGUCAAGAAAUGAGUAUCUGAGCCCCUAUUAGUUGGUUUCAAAUAAUCAAUUCACUUGCGCAUGAACCACUUGCGUUCAUUCCCCUCCACCAUUAGCAUGAUUUUCUUGUUAGACAUUGUGCAACUUGAAUUUAGUUCAAAUUGUUUUUACAUGAUGGUUGUAUCUGUCAUUUAGUUUCAAUAAGCCUUAAAUGUCUUGGGCCUCUUAACUAUGUAAAAUCCAAAACUAAGUUUCCCAAAAGUAUGCAUUAUUCUGUGAGUCUAUUUAGAUUGCGUAAGCUUGUUUUAACUGUCUGUUGAACGGCUAAAUUUAUCAUUGUGAUGACAAUCUCUCUGCGUUUUUUUUUUUUUGUUGCAGGAUCGGCCUUCAACCAAGGUCCAUGCUGCCCCCGGUGGUGGAUCUUCACUAGGUUACCUCUUUGGUGGUGGCAGCAACUGAGAUGUGCCUCCCUAUCUCCAUAUGAAGUAUUGUUGUGAUUUUUGUGAAAAUGUAAUUUGGAUGAGGCAAUGCACUCAUCGUUUACAUAAACAAUUCAACUCGUUUGAUGUUGUGAUGUAAUAUAAAGAUGGUGUGGUUGUCUGCUUAAUUCAAUCAAGAAUAUUUUUAUGC